GUUUAGUCUGAUGUGUCAAAACCAUGGACCACGAGCCACAUUAAAGCUGGCAAGAGGCCCUGAAGUUUGAGUAUACACUGCAUUCCCCUUGACUUUCUCCACAUUUUGUUACAUUACAGCCUUAUUCUAAGCGGUGUGGUCAGCAUGUUAUUCUAAAAUAGAUACAUUUUUUAUAUUUUUUUACUAAUCACGAUACCCCAUAAUGACAAAGCAAAAUUAGCUUUUUAGAUUUUUUUUCUCUCCAAAUUUCUUAAAAAGAAAAAACUGAAAUAUUACAUUUACAUAAGUUUACUGUAUUUAUGUGCGAAGGGAACAAUGUGGAACGUUCCCUAACUCUACUCUCCUUCAUGCACACACACACUGUCUUCUGUCUUCCUUCAUCCUCUACUCCUCCAUUCUCUUCUCCCUACAUCCCUGUAUAUCUUCCUCCUCUCUUCCCCACUCUCCAAGCACCCGUAUUGUUCCGGGGCUGGAGGGCUGUGUGUGUAUGUUGUGGUCAAGGACACCAGAUCAUUGGUCCUUAUAUAAUAACACAUUUACAAAAAUAUUUACAAACCUUUAAUAAGGUAAUGGAUGAGGGAGAGAGAGAGAGAGAGAGAGCAAGAGAGGAAGAAAGAGAGGGAGCGAGAGAGAAAUAGGUAGAGAGAGAGAGAGAAGGAGAGGUAAAUAGAGAAAUGAAAGGGUCCACAGUGAUGAAAGCAAAACGGCACUGUCAACCUUCACCAUAAGGAGGAGAAAAAGAGGGAGAGAGAUGAAGCGAGAGAUGGAGAUGGGAGAGAGAGAGGCAGGCGAGGUAGUGAUUGAGUGAGAACGGGGAGGAGAGAAAGAGAGAGAAUGGGGUAGAGGGAGAGAUAAAGAAAUAGUGUUUUGCAGGAAAUGUAUACAAAUAACUGCACUUAUUUGAAUAUUUUAGAAUAGAAAUCAGGGUACCUUAACUUGGGUAAUAUUUUAUUGACUCGUUAGAUCUUCAAAACUAUUUUUCAUAAUAAAUGGCCGCUUUAUGUUCUUCAAAGAACUGUAACAAUAAAAAUAAAAGUAAAAUACGGUAGAAAAUGUAUAAAAUUAAAAGGCUAAACAAACACUUAUAUGAACAAUACCACAGCUCAAUGCUUCUUAACUUCAGAUAUAGAGCAUAGAGACGGAGAACGAGAGAGGGGGUAGACUAGAGGGAGAGAGGAAGAGAAGGGUUAGACUAGAGGGAGAGAGGAAGAGAAGGGUUAGACUAGAGGGAGAGAGGAAGAGAAGGGUUAGACUAGAGGGAGAGAGGAAGAGAAGGGUUAGACUAGAGGGAGAGAGGAAGAGAAGGGUUAGACUAGAGGGAGAGAGGAAGAGAAGGGUUAGACUAGAGGGAGAGAGGAAGAGAAGGGUUAGACUAGAGGGAGAGAGGAAGAGAAGGAUUAGACUAAAGGGAGAGAGGAAGAGAAGGGUUAGACUAGAGGGAGAGAGGAAGAGAAGGGUAGACUAGGGAGAGAGGAAGAGAGGGGCAGACUAGAGGAAGAGAAGGGUUAGACUAGAGGGAGAGAGGGAGAGGGGUAGACUAGGGAGAGAGGAAGAGGGGUAGACUAGAGGGAGAGGGGUAGACUGGAGGGAGAGAGGAAGAGGGGUAGACUAGAGGGAGAGAGGAAGAGAGGGGUAGACUAGAGGGAGAGAGGGGGUAGACUAGAGGGAGAGAGGAAGAGACGGGUAGACUAGAGGGCGAGAAGAAGAGAGGGGGUAGACUAGAGGGAGAGAGGAAGAGAUAGGUAGACUAGAGGAAGAGAGGGGGUAGACUAGAGGGAGAGAGGGGGUAGACUAGAGGGAGAGAGGAAGAGAGGGGGUAGACUACAGGGAGAGAGGGGGUAGACUACAGGGAGAGAGGGGUAGACUACAGGGAGAGAGGGGUAGACUACAGGGAGAGAGGGGUAGACUACAGGGAGAGAGGGGUAGACUACAGGGAGAGAGGGGGUAGACUACAGGGAGAGAGGGGUAGACUACAGGGAGAGAGGGGUAGACUACAGGGAGAGAGGGUAAGACUACAGGGAGAGAGGGGUAGACUACAGGGAGAGAGGGGUAGACUACAGGGAGAGAGGGGUAGACUACAGGGAGAGAGGGGUAGACUACAGGGAGAGAGGGGUAGACUACAGGGAGAGAGGGGUAGACUACAGGGAGAGAGGGGUAGACUACAGGGAGAGAGGAACAGAGAGAAAUAGAGAUAUAUGGAAAGAUAAAGAGUUGGAGCGAGGGAAAUAAUUAGUUACAUUUUUCCGUCUCAUUUUUCAGUUUAAUCUCUUCCGCUCUCCCUCUAGUACUUUUUCUUUAAUGCUUUAUGUCCCGCCCCCAGUCUGAUUCCCAUGCAACCAUGUGAUUGGUUGGCAAUAUUGCUUGGAUGACCUGGGGGAGUUCACUGACAGCAGAUAGAAAUACAAUGAGCAGAUAAGAAACAAUGGAGAGUUCUGCCUGUUCUGGACAGUGAAUUUCUAUCUGCUUUGUCCUUAGUCUGUGUCUCAAAUGGCAGCCUGUGCACUACUUUUGACCAGAGCCACGUAGGGUUAGGAACAUAGGCCUCUGGUCUAUAGUCAUGCACUUUUAGAGGAAAAGGGUGCCAUUUUAAGACAGUCUUACACGCUCUGAAUGACAUCAUACUCACCCCCUCAACCUUCUCCACAGAGCCUGCCCUCUAAAACACACACACACACACACACACACACACACACACACACACACACACACACACACACACACACACACACACACACACACACACACACUCUCUCCUGCCUGGCUGGGAUUGAUCACCUGGACAACGGGCGGGACAAUCAACCAAUGAGGUGAAGCAACAGGAUGCACGGAGAGGGAGGGCCAAUGACAGUAAAUCAACUCAAAUUCUCUUAGCCAAUGGCAUCAUGAACAGCUCUAUCGCUAUAGAAACACAUGAUAAUACGUAAUAUUCAGUUUUGGAUUAUUUUACAGACAUUGUUGAUAUAAAACACUCAUCAGAGCAGGUACAGUCAUACAUGUAAUGUCUAUAGCACAGACUGUAAAACAGGACUGGGCCUGUGAACAUAUCCUGCCUUUCCACCAGGGUUACUCACUAAACCACGCCCCGACACAAACACACCACCCGGUCUCUCAGUAGCCCGGCCACACCUCUGUUGGUCAGUAUCUGCUGUGUGUUGGGAGGUGAGGGAAGGUUGAUUGGGUACAAAUUAAGUUGCGUGUCCUGUAUCUGUCCCGUCUUCUUAUUGAUGAUUGAUAUAUGAUCUUGCAAUAAUAGUAUAUCCUGUUUAUCAGCUGCUUCUAUCCAAAGCAACGUACAUUUUAACUUAUGGGUGACCCCAGCGGGAAUUAAACCUGCAAUCCUGAUGUUGCAAGCACCAUGCUCUACCAAUGGACCUACAGAGGACCACCAUGUGUUGAUCCAGUUGUUAUGUGUUGUCUGUCUGUCACUAUUAAGCCCAGUAAUAAUGGCCUGUUGGGUGUAAAUUACGUUUAUUACAUUGAAGUGAAUAAACCAGGUGGUAGAUCAUUAUAAACCCAGUUGGUAGUUUAGGUGGUAGAUCAUUAUAAACCCAGUUGGUAGUUUAGGUGGUAGAUCAUUAUAAACCCAGUUGGUAGUUUAGGCGGUAGAUCAUUAUAAACCCAGUUGGUAGUUUAGGUGGUAGAUCAUUAUAAACCCAGUUGGUAGUUUAGGUGGUAGAUUAUUAUAAACCCAGUUGGUAGUUUAGGCGGUAGAUCAUUAUAAACCCAGUUGGUAGUUUAGGUGGUAGGUCAUGGAUGUGCUGGGUUUAGGAGUAACCCCUGUAGUCUCUGCUCUGUUAGCGACACAUGGAGUAAGAUAAUUCAACGUGCAACAAUUUCCCCAUAGAGUUUAAACUGCAAACAUUUUCAUUAUCAUUCUUCCUCUUUUCUUCAUCAGCGUCUUCAUCAUCAUCAUCAUCAUCAUCUCAGAUAUUGUUGCCAUCACAGAGUCAGUGAUGAAGUUCUGGUGUGUGUGUGUGUAUAUAUAUAUAUAUAUAUAUAUAUGUGGUAUGUGUAGAUAGGUAGGUAGGUAGUUAGUUCUGGUGUGUGUAUAUAUAUAUGUGGUAUGUGUAGAUAGGUAGGUAGGUAGGUAGGUAGUUAGUUCUGGUGUGUGUAUAUAUAUAUGUGGUAUGUGUAGAUAGGUAGGUAGUUAGUUCUGGUGUCUCUGGCCUCCUCUCCAGAGUCAAAGUCUUUUGUUUCCAUAGUGUUGAUAGGUUGAUAUCACAUUGUGACAUUGUAUUGCGUUGUACAAUAAACGUCCCAGCAACACUUCAAACACACAGCUCCUUCUCCCAUCUACCUAUAGCGAGUCGGCGUAUCAAGCCACCAUGGCAACCCUGGUGGGUGUGGCUCUUCCUGUCUUGUUGCCGGGGUAACAUCCAUCCUGCUGACUUGUGGGUUAGGGCUAGGUUCAGGGUUCAGGUAAUCUGGUGUUACACCACUGGACAAAACACCAGCCUUACACUCAACUAUAACUGAGUUUAUCAGGGUGUUAAUCUGGCUAUUCUGAUUUUGACUCCGUAUGACAGAAGACAAGCAUUCUCUGGGAUCUUUCCCAGCGUGACCCGCCCCCUCCUCUCUCUGACCCUGCUCCCCCC
Molecule: long non-coding RNA, 4595 nt
Filed under: Salmo salar (Atlantic salmon)
Lineage: Eukaryota; Metazoa; Chordata; Actinopteri; Salmoniformes; Salmonidae
Description: lncRNA (ENSSSAG00000099570.1)
Source: RNAcentral